AACUAAUCAAAAAUUUUAAAUCCAGGGAAUAUCGUAAUUGCGUUUAGCGCCCCUAUUGCUCGUGAUCGACGGGUACUUUUUGGGCAGACGGUCGGACUCGGGAGAGAGUCGGCCGCGGUUAUGUUAACUCGAGGGAAAUGGUGGUUGGCACUUUCGCUGUUAGGAGGGUUCGUGAAUGCAAGUCCAGCUACGGUCGCUCUUUUCGAUUUUGGGCCCCACUUCAGAAGGUAGUGUUUGUGGUGGAAAGAGGAAAUAUUAGCGGAAAAACAUAACUAAACCUCGCGCCAGUGCUAAAUCAAAGAAAAAAAGACAAACAAAAGAAUCGUGUUGCUUUCAAAUUAUACCAUAAAGAAAUCGAAAAGAAAUUUGCCACCCCAGUAAGGGGGCGUUCCAUUCUGACCCCACGCCGGAGGCAAGGCAUCCGAAAGUGGUCUCUUUUUUUUUGUUUCGGACGGCCAUUUGCAAGUUAAUAUAACAAGAGUGCCAAUCGCCACAUAGCGAAUUGGCACGUUGUGCCAAGCAGAUUUCCAAGGGAGAAUAGCGGAAAAAGAUAAUUGGGAUCGAUGACCGAGCCGGCCGCAGCCACAACCAGCUGGCCAUAGAAAGGGAAGAGAAGAGACUGCGCUCCCGGAAAAAAAAAAGCACAAGAACCGAUCGAAUUCGCCGCUGGCGCAGAGAAGCGCAAGGCAGAGAGUCCGCCGCUCCAGCUGUGGGUCCGACUCAGUGCAUCAGCAGCAUCGUCGGCGCCGGGAAGCUGCGAAACUAAAAGCGGAAUAUUGAACAUUUUUUUUGGCCCCCAAGUUUUUUUGCGUAAAUAUCUUGCCCUCGGCCGACCUGGCUUAGUGAAAAAAAAGUAGAGGAAAUAAAAACCCAGAUCAAAAUUAUACCCAUGAGCCAAUAGGCAAGGUCUUACAAUUAUAGCAAGCGGAUCGUCUUCGACAAAAGCGCUUUUGGAGAUGGAUGGCACGUAAGUGAAAGAAUAUUGCUUUACUCUAAAUAAAUUGCAUGCAUGAGCGUGAGAGAAGGAGAGGUAUAGGAAAGAAAGAAGGGGAGAGGUAAAACAGUUGGGCAGAUCCACAUGCCGGAAGAGAUAGCAAGAACAGUAACCAUGGGUUUUUUGUUGUUGUCACAAAUGCUCUGUUAAAUUUGUAUGCCAGUUUAGCGGCUACCUCCUAUAUACAUAUACUGUUUUUUUAUUAUAUACACAUUUAAUUCUUUUUUUUCUAUUUAGUUAUAAUUCUUCUAUUUUAAUUAUUAUUAGUAUUAUUUUAAUUUCCAACCUGGAAUAUUCUCGAAUCCUGUUGUUCGCUAAAAUAGUUAUUGAGUCAAUUGGGAGUUUAAGUAGAGUAGGGAAAUGCCCCUGUGUCAAGUAAUAAAUAAGUUUUAAAAUGAAAUCGAUAAUGAACUAAAUUAUUUUAGGGCGCCAUGCCGAGUGGAUUAUGGAAAUGAAGUGAGUCUGGGGGAUUUAGGGAUCAUCGGCCACUAAUAUGGCUUUGCGGCCCAGAUGGUCAAGGUAGGGUGGGCAAAACGCUGCUACACCUACAGCUACUCAGCAGCACAACCCGUACUUCAGCAUGUUCUGUUUUCUUUGCAGAGCAACCUCUAUGUGUGCAUAGCUUGUCACUCUUGGUAGUUUCUUUUCUGUAUGGCCAGUCCGAUCGAUCAUGUGUUAGGGAGGAAAACCGCACGCGAAAUCAAUAUUAUUAUAUGUAUCCAAUGCGAGCAGGUAGCACAGUGGUAAAUCCUCACCCCCCCCCUUGCCGACGACAAAUAGAAGCCGGAACCAGCGCGUGCUCCUCUGGUCGCUACAAUAAGAUCAGCUCGUUAUGAUAGAGUAUCGCU
Long non-coding RNA from Drosophila miranda, 1842 nucleotides. RefSeq lists it as uncharacterized. The record is from RefSeq and is a predicted model, not a curated record. The transcript is spliced from 3 exons. Lineage: Eukaryota; Metazoa; Arthropoda; Insecta; Diptera; Drosophilidae.